AUGACCCUGACCGUCGUGAACCUGAUCUGGCCGGGCAUCCAGGGGAACACCGGCAGUGAGGUCCUGGAGGGGGGCAGCUUCUUCCUCCCGUCGCUCUCCCACCGCUCCUUCCCGGCGCCCACCCACGCCUGGUCCAGCCGCAUCUGGGCGCGCACCGGCUGCGCGAUAGGCGACUGCGGCGGGCGGCUCCAGUUCUCCACCGCAGGUCUCCCUCCACCACGGCGGCAACGAGCAAUCGUCCUACGGGGUGAGCGUGGUGGACGGCUUCAACGUGGGCCUCUCCGUGACCCCGCACAAGGGCCGCGACAACUGCCCCGUCUUGGCCUGUUGCAAGGACCUGACCUAGAGCUGCCCGGGCGAGCUGCCUGUGCGUACAUGAUGUUCAUCCUUGGCUUCAUGAGACUCAGCCUUGCCAAGGUCGAGAACGCCUCACAGAUAUGUAUGAGGACGUCUAAUCGAGAUUUCCGGCUGCAGGGUGCAAUUAGUGGAAGAAGAGGAACUGAGAUGUAUGUUCGUGACUUUACCGGCCCUGGCUCCAAGUCCGUGGCCGACCUGGUUACCACCGUCCGGAUGUUCAAGGUGGUCGUCCCAAGAGCUCUAAGAAUUAAAAGCUGGUAUACCCAGGCUAUCCUAAUUCAUGCAUGUUUGUGCCUUCCAGGUGAUGUGCCCAACAUGCUUCUGCACGAGAGUUUGCUAUGGGAACAAGAUGAAGCUGGCACAGUGAGGCUAGAGACGGGUCACAUUUGGUCGCACAUGGGAGUUGUUCUUGUGAACGUGGGUGAUGAGAUUGACACAAAGCUGCCGAGGAAGGAGCGGGUGACAUUUGUUUCUAAAGGUGUUGAUUCUAUAUCUCGAGCAAAGCAGAUUCUUACCUCGAUACCUGCAAGAGCAAGAGAAGCAUACAACCAUAGCCAGAAUGUUCAUGGGAUAAUGGGCCCUUGGUCUCUCAUUUGUGCUUUAUUUUUCUCAUGGCACAUGCUCAAGGAUGGUCAUAUCGCCCAAGAUGGAAAAUAUGAGGAUCUUCUCCAAGCUGGAACUGAGCUCAAUGCACCAAGAACAAAAUCAAUUGAAGCAACACUUCGUGUAUAA
RNAcentral lists this ribosomal RNA (1089 nucleotides) under Triticum aestivum (bread wheat). RNAcentral describes it as "partial small subunit ribosomal RNA". Lineage: Eukaryota; Viridiplantae; Streptophyta; Magnoliopsida; Poales; Poaceae. The record is from RNAcentral.